UUAAUUUCAUAAGCAUUCACUCAUAUAAUGGCGGGGAUAUGGCCCGCGAGUCUCUACCGGAACACCGUAAAUGUUCCGACUAUGGGUGAGCAAUGGGAAAAU
This 102-nucleotide non-coding RNA is filed under the name Bacillus methanolicus. Its description in RNAcentral is "Guanine sequence". It matches the Rfam family "Purine riboswitch aptamer". Rfam says of the family: Riboswitches are metabolite binding domains within certain messenger RNAs that serve as precision sensors for their corresponding targets. Allosteric rearrangement of mRNA structure is mediated by ligand binding, and this results in modulation of gene expression. A class of riboswitches that selectively recognises guanine and becomes saturated at concentrations as low as 5 nM. Lineage: Bacteria; Bacillati; Bacillota; Bacilli; Caryophanales; Bacillaceae. RNAcentral also lists the same sequence under 1 other name. The record is from RNAcentral.